Molecule: long non-coding RNA, 265 nt
Filed under: Olea europaea (common olive)
Lineage: Eukaryota; Viridiplantae; Streptophyta; Magnoliopsida; Lamiales; Oleaceae
Description: long non-coding RNA (OEUR_LNC013359)
Source: RNAcentral
AAAAGAUCAUCAGUACACAAAAAAUUUUCAGAUGGGGAAGAGCGUACUUGUAAAUAGACCAAUUUAAAUACCUUCCUUUUGACGAUAAGAGGGAUAUCAUCAUCAUCAUCAUCAACAUCAUCCUCCAGAAUGGGAGAUGCUGAAGCUGGCCGUUUGCGGCUUGGAACACUCUUGGCCAUAGUUGGCUUGGCAGGGAGGGAAGAAGAUGGAGGAGCAGAUUGUUUAGUACGACGAGAAGGAGAAGGGUUCCGAAUAGACAAAGGAG